UUGAAUUGAAGAGUUUGAUCAUGGCUCAGAUUGAACGCUGGCGGCAGGCUUAACACAUGCAAGUCGGACGGUAGCAGGAGAAAGCUUGCUUUCUUGC
RNAcentral lists this ribosomal RNA (97 nucleotides) under Aggregatibacter actinomycetemcomitans. RNAcentral's name for it is "partial 16S ribosomal RNA". It matches the Rfam family "Bacterial small subunit ribosomal RNA", at positions 1 to 92 of the family's 1533-position model. Lineage: Bacteria; Pseudomonadati; Pseudomonadota; Gammaproteobacteria; Pasteurellales; Pasteurellaceae. The record is from RNAcentral.